UCUUUACUCCCUCCGUCCCAAAAUUCUUGUCUUAGAUUCUAUUAGAUACGGAUGUAUCUAAUACUAAAACGUGACUUCAUACAUCCGUAUUUAGACAAAUUUAAGACAAAAAUUUUGGGACGGAGGGAGUAUUAU
Non-coding RNA from Triticum urartu, 135 nucleotides. The record is from Rfam. Lineage: Eukaryota; Viridiplantae; Streptophyta; Magnoliopsida; Poales; Poaceae.